Molecule: ribosomal RNA, 136 nt
Filed under: uncultured eukaryote
Lineage: Eukaryota
Description: partial 18S ribosomal RNA
Rfam family: Eukaryotic small subunit ribosomal RNA
Source: RNAcentral
UGGUGGAGUGAUUUGUCUGCUUAAUUGCGAUAACGAACGAGACCUUCAUCGUUAACUAGCCCGGCUCGCCUUGGCGGGUCGCCGGCUUCUUAGCGAGACUUUUGGCUUAAGCCAAAGGAAGUUGGAGGCAAUAACA